CCUACGGGGGGCAGCAGUGGGGAAUAUUGGACAAUGGGCGAAAGCCUGAUCCAGCCAUGCCGCGUGUGUGAAGAAGGCCUUCGGGUUGUAAAGCACUUUCAGUGGGGAAGAAAGCCUUGGGGCUAAUACCCUCGAGGAAGGACAUCACCCACAGAAGAAGCACCGGCUAACUCCGUGCCAGCAGCCGCGGUAAUACGGAGGGUGCGAGCGUUAAUCGGAAUUACUGGGCGUAAAGCGCGCGUAGGCGGUCUGAUAAGCCGGUUGUGAAAGCCCCGGGCUCAACCUGGGAACGGCAUCCGGAACUGUCAGGCUAGAGUACAGGAGAGGUAGGUAGAAUUCCCGGUGUAGCGGUGAAAUGCGUAGAGAUCGGGAGGAAUACCAGUGGCGAAGGCGGCCUUCUGGACUGACACUGACGCUGAGGUGCGAAAGCGUGGGUAGCAAACAGGAUUAGAUACCCUAGUAGUC
RNAcentral lists this ribosomal RNA (465 nucleotides) under Vreelandella stevensii. Its description in RNAcentral is "partial 16S ribosomal RNA". It matches the Rfam family "Bacterial small subunit ribosomal RNA", at positions 338 to 795 of the family's 1533-position model. The record is from RNAcentral. Lineage: Bacteria; Pseudomonadati; Pseudomonadota; Gammaproteobacteria; Oceanospirillales; Halomonadaceae.